This 497-nucleotide ribosomal RNA is filed under the name uncultured bacterium. RNAcentral describes it as "partial 16S ribosomal RNA". It matches the Rfam family "Bacterial small subunit ribosomal RNA", at positions 28 to 507 of the family's 1533-position model. The record is from RNAcentral.
GAUGAACGCUGGCGGCGUGCCUAAUACAUGCAAGUCGAGCGAACAGACGAGGAGCUUGCUCCUCUGACGUUAGCGGCGGACGGGUGUGUAACACGUGGAUAAUCUACCUAUAAGUCUGGUAUAACUUCGGGAAACCGGAGCUAAUACCGGAUAAUAUAUUGAACCGCAUGGUUCGAUAGUGAAAGACGGUUUUGCUGUCACUUAUAGAUGGAUCCGCGCCGCAUGAGCUAGUUGGUAAGGUAACGGCUUAUCAAGGCAACGAUGCGAAGACGACGUGAGAGGGUGAUCGGCCACACGGGAGCUGGGACACGGACCAGACUCCUACGAGACGCACCAGAAGGCAAUCUUCCGCAAUGGGCGAAAGCCUGACGGAACAACGCGGCGUGAGUGAUAGAGGUCUUCGGAUCGUAAAACUCUGUUAUGAGGGAAGAACAAAUGUGUAAGGAACUAAGGACGUCGUGACGGUACCUAAUCAGAAAGCAACGGCUAACUACGUG